Molecule: long non-coding RNA, 2832 nt
Filed under: Sarcophilus harrisii (Tasmanian devil)
Lineage: Eukaryota; Metazoa; Chordata; Mammalia; Dasyuromorphia; Dasyuridae
Description: lncRNA (ENSSHAG00000032104.1)
Source: RNAcentral
GUAAGCUUGAAAGCCUAACAGAUUAGGAGUCUGAAAAUAUAGAUUCAAAUUUUACCUUAGUUAUUUGUUUUCUACUCAACUUUUUUUCUUACUAUUCUUCUUGAAAUUUAGCAUUUUCUUCAUUUGAGAAGUGUUCUCAAGCUGCAAUAGACUGCAAAAAAUGUAAAUGAUUCAAAAGAGAAAAGUAAGAACUUCUGGGCCAGGUUAAAGCUGGACCUGCAGGUGAUUCCAGUUUAGAAAAAAACCAUACUGUAACAAUCUACAAAUAAUUUAAAUUAUCUAACAUUUUUCUAUUUUGAAUAUCUACAUGUCCAAAUCUUCCUUUGGUAUCAUUUCAUUGGUAAUACGAUGAAGGUGUAUUUAUUCUCAUAAAAAUAACAUAUACACAGAAAAUUAAUCACAUUCAAUGAAAAUAUGUUAUUAAAUGACUUUUUUGUUAGCCUAUCUAGGUUUCCAUUUAUUUGCAGAAGCAUUUUGCAAACAUAUAGCUCAUUCCAAAUUAGAGACUCAAAGAAUUUCGAUAUUGCCACAUAAAAAGCAUCACUAAUAUAUUCCCCUUACCCAUGCAUAUUAUGAGAAUACUGUAAAUACAAAAUUAACACUUCAAGUUAAUUUACCUCUCUCACCAUUGGAUAAUUAGCACAAAUUAAAUUUAUGCUAAUUUUACAGAGAAGAUAGCAUGCAAUAUGGAAAUUUUGAAUUUCUGCUGAUUAUGAGGAAAGUAUACGCACACUAACAGUAUAUCUUAUUUUGAUAAGAUUACCUGACAAAAAACCUACAAAAACAUUUUAUUACAAUGUUUCAUAAUGUGAAUCAAACAUGCCACUGAAAAUGAGAUUGCACAAAGAUAAUUUUUCAUUCUAGGUAUCAAGCUUCAAAAUAAUUCUGUUGAUUCAUCUGCAUUGCAAUUAGUCAUUUAGUCAGCUGGGAAAUUAAGGUAGUUGAGAAAUUCUGUGCUGACCUUUCAUGGUUGUAUUCUUAGAUUUGUGUUCAUACUUUGGCCUAGAUUUUCUCUGGUGGUGCCAGAAUUGUUAAAUUAAUCAAAUAUACAUCAACUGGAUAACUAUGAAAAAUAAAGGAAAAACUACACAGUGGCAAUGUAUUUAAACUGUCAUUUGAACAAUAAUUUCUUGUUUUAAUUCAAAUAAAUACUUUAAAUUAUUUUUAAGGCUGUGUAUAUUCAAUAUGUUCAUCUUCAUUUUGAAAAAAAAUAGAAUUCAAAUCUGUAUUUCAUUUUAGCUAUCUUUAAAGGUUUCUUCCUACUCAUGAAAUCACUGGGUGGCAUUCCAUAGGAAUUCAUGGGUAUAUUCCAGAGUCUAGUUCUUUCUUGCUUUUCAGUAUAUAGAUUUUCAUUUGUAGCUUUUGUAUUUUAUUUUAUAUAUGUGAAAACAUUCUGAAGAGAGUUCUCUAAGUUUCACUACAUUUCUAAAGGGAUCCAUAAAAUAAAGGAAGAUUAAGAAUUCUUGCUCUAAGUCAUUCAAUUGUGCCAAAAAUGGUAACAGUUGUUUAAAUAUCUUUCAGGAUAUUAUUGUGCACCUAUGGAGAGUAGAAACAUCAUAAAGAAUAUCCCUUAAGAGGCUGCUCAUUGGAAAUUUUCAUAACUGAUUUACAGCACCUAAGAGGUGCUCUUCCCAUAAUAUAUCACUUCAUGCAUCUACAAUCCACCAGGACAAUUUAUAAACAUCUUGAUUUACUGUUCUGUCAAGAGCUUCCAAGUACAGUUUUUUUUAAGUCUCUGAAAAUACCUGGUUUUAUAGAUUUUCUGCUUUUCUUUGUCUUUCUAGUAAAAGUAGUAAAAAAAAAAUGUUCUCCCUAAUAUUUAUGAAGAUCUCUUAAAUAUAGUGUCAAGUCUUUGAAAACAAUAAUUCUGAAUUUUAAAUAAUCCCAUUUGAACUUUGUUAUUACUAUUCUUUGUAUUUCAUUCUUGAAGAGGAUCAAUAGCAUCCCUUUCCCCCUGCAACUAGAUUAGAAUUUGUUAUUCAUUCUUUCCAAGACUAGAAUAUUUCAAUCAUAAUAUUUCUUAAUCUCUAAAUGAAUUCUGAUAGUCUUUUAAUUUGCUACUACUCUUGCUACUUUUCUCAUUUAAAUAGUCAACAUCUUGGUUCAAGUUCAAGUCUCUUUAUAGUUAAAAUAGACUUUUGGUCAGCUAGAAUUUAAUUCAAUUAACAAGAGUAUUAACAAGAUUACAUCAAAUGGGACUUUGCCCAGUAAACAAAGAAUUUGGAUCUGUCCCUUCUUCUCACAGAGGUCCAAAGUCUAUUAAUACUAUAACUUGCAAUUCAUAAUUCUAUGACAUGUAUCCACAAUUGCCAUACCUGCCUUCUUUUUCAGAUAAUUUUUUUCAGAUCUAUCCAUCUUCUAUUCUUGUCUAAUUGUAUAUCUCACUUAUAAAUUCAAAGCUAUUAGUUAAAGUUCUUUGAUGUCAUUAAAUUUUGAUUAUACAAUCAAUAAGUAGAACUAUAUUCCUAAGGAAGUUGUUAAUUGACAUGCAUGUACAUGUCAAACAUAUGUUUCUGUAUAUCUAUCCAUCUCGUUGUUUUUCAGUUGUUUCAGUCAAGUCUAACUUUUCAUGACCCCAUUUUAGGAGUUCUUGAUAAGAAGGAGUUCAUUUCCUUCUCUAGCUAUUUUAUAAAUGAGAAACUGAAGCAAACUGAGCUAAAUACACAGAGUGACACAGCUAGCCAGGGUUUAAGACCAGAUUUGAAUUUAGGAAGAUGAAUCUUUCUGGCUCAGGACUGGCAUUCUGUCCUUUAUACCACUUAAUUCUGCAUAUAUUUUCAUGCACACAGGCACACCUAGAUGUGUUUCACACAUAUUGCAUGUAUGCAUAUA